GUCUUCUGGUGCAGAAUAUGCGCCAUGCAAAUAACCGACGUUUUAACGCGUCGGUUAUUUUUUUGC
This 66-nucleotide small RNA is filed under the name Chania multitudinisentens RB-25. Its description in RNAcentral is "Enterobacterial sRNA STnc240". It matches the Rfam family "Enterobacterial sRNA STnc240". Lineage: Bacteria; Pseudomonadati; Pseudomonadota; Gammaproteobacteria; Enterobacterales; Yersiniaceae. The record is from Rfam by way of RNAcentral.